CCUACUGUCUUCCUCCUCCAUCAACCCACCAUCACGGUCACUCGCUUUGUUAGUUACAACAUUUUCUUCUGUGAUCUCAAUGCUUGCAGCCUGCUGUUUUACAGCGUCCACAUCUUUGGAGCAGCCUGCUAUCGCCUCAGCAGGCUCAGCCCGAUUUUCGGGGGCUAUUCCCGGGCAAGCUCUGACUAAAUGCCCUUCUUUCCCGCAGCUAAAACACUUCAGAGUUCCAGAGUUUACAAACACAGCAUAGUCAAAGUCAUCCACCCUUAAUUGAAAAACUAAACUCAGUUCACUGUCCUUCUUGUUCAGAAUCAUGUGCACUUGCCGUCUGUGUGACACUACAUGCCGCAGCAGGGGAGACUUGCAUCCCGACGGCAGCUUUCUGAUUGCAGACACUAUUUUCCCGUGCCUCGAUAGUUCCCGAACCAGAACCUCGUCGCCGAUGAACGGAGGGAUGUUAGAGAUAGUAAUCCUCGCUGCCGGCGGUGUAAGCAGAGACACGGACACAAACAAAUCCUUCACAACAAUCCCCGAUUCCACCAAUUGUUUGCCUUGGCCACGCUGUCCACAAAAAUGACGACCCCUCCGUUCAUCCGGGCCGUGGACCUGAUACUGCUGUGCCCGACAACGUCUGCCACUGCCAGACUGCAGUCCUCCAUUAACACGGGAAGGUGGUGGAGAUCUUGAAGCCAUGCCUGCGGCUGAGCUCCCCGAACGCCGCCAUACUCCAGGCGCACCGACCAGCGGCCACUGGUCGAUCGCCAAAAGAACAGCCCAAAGUAACACCAAAACCCACCAAACACCUCGCAAAACCUUUCAUUCAACUAUAUUUACAACAUUUACCGAAAAAAACUAUGAAAAAAGUUCGCAAAAACUUCUCAAAAUCGCUCUCACACACGCUCUGCAAAACUCGCUCCUUCCGCUCAGUCAGAGAGAGAGAGAGAGAGAGACCUUGAAAAUGUAUAUGAAGUGGAGAGAGAGACUCAUACCAAGAUACAGGUAGAGAGAGAGAGGUUAGGAGAAAGGUAGAGUGUGAGAGAGAGGUAGAGAUUGUUAACAGAGAGGUAAUGAGAGAGAGAGAGAACCAGUUAUGGUUUCAGGCUUAAAGCUUGGUCCAAACAGAGCCAAGGAAAGCCAGAUCUUUGGAAUGUAAACAACACGUGUGUUUAUUGCCCUUCUAGUAAAGGACUUCAGUGUUCUUAGUCCAGUCCAGUUUGUUAUCGAUGGACACCCCCAGAUAUUUGUAGUGUUCAACGAUGUCCACGUUAUGACCCAGGAUGGAAACUGGAGUCAUUGGUGUCUUCUUGGAUCUCCUCAGAUCCACCACCAGCUAUUUGGUUUUACUUGUGUUGAGCUGCGGGUGGUUCUGCUCACACCAUGUGACAAAGUUGUCCACCACAGCCCUGUAUUCAGCCUCCUCACAAUUACUGAUACAACCAACGACAGCAGAGUCAUCAGAGAACUUCUGAAAAUGUCAAGACUCUGUCUGGUAGCUGAAGUCUAUGGUGUAAAGGGUGAAGAGGAAAGGAGAGAGGACAGUCCCUUGUGGGGCCCCGGUGUUGCUGACCACCGCACCCGACACAGAGUGCCGCAGGCGCACGUACUGUGGUCGGCCAGUGAGGUAAUCCACAAUCCAGGACACAAGGGGGGGGGAUCGUCCAGCAUCGUCGUCACCUUGUCAACCAUGCUCCCUGGCGUGUCCAGGUGGGCGUAGACGCGGUUCAGCAGGUAGAUGAUGGCAUCUCAACUCAAAUCCGGGGCUGGUAGGCGAACUGGAGGGGAUCGAGGUACGGCCUGACCAUAGGCCUGAGAUGCUUCAAGACGAGUAGUUCCACUACUCAUCCAUUCACACACCCACUAAUUCUCUCAUCCACUAUUUUUUCUUUUUUUUAUUCACACAAAUUAAAAAAACAGUGGUUU
Long non-coding RNA from Gadus macrocephalus (Pacific cod), 1920 nucleotides. RefSeq lists it as uncharacterized. The record is from RefSeq and is a predicted model, not a curated record. Lineage: Eukaryota; Metazoa; Chordata; Actinopteri; Gadiformes; Gadidae. The transcript has 2 exons.